This 163-nucleotide small nuclear RNA is filed under the name Camelus dromedarius (Arabian camel). Its description in RNAcentral is "U1 spliceosomal RNA (ENSCDRG00005019994.1)". It matches the Rfam family "U1 spliceosomal RNA". From Rfam's summary of the family: U1 is a small nuclear RNA (snRNA) component of the spliceosome (involved in pre-mRNA splicing). The record is from RNAcentral. Lineage: Eukaryota; Metazoa; Chordata; Mammalia; Artiodactyla; Camelidae.
ACACUUACCUGGCAGGGAGAUACCAUGAUCAAGAAGGUGGUUUUCCCAGGGCAAGGCUUAUCCAUUGCACUCCAGAUGUGCUGACCCCUGCCAUUUCCCCAAAUGUGGGAAACUCGACUGCAUAAUUUGUGGUAGUGGCGGACUGCAAUCGCGUUUUCCCCUU